RNAcentral lists this ribosomal RNA (338 nucleotides) under uncultured Pseudomonadota bacterium. RNAcentral describes it as "bacterial SSU rRNA". It matches the Rfam family "Bacterial small subunit ribosomal RNA", at positions 29 to 351 of the family's 1533-position model. The record is from RNAcentral. Lineage: Bacteria; Pseudomonadati; Pseudomonadota.
AAUGAACGCUGGCGGCGUGCCUAACACAUGCAAGUCGAGCGAGAAAGUCCCUUUCGGGGGGCGAGUACAGCGGCGCACGGGUGAGUAACGCGUGGGUAACCUACCCAGGAGUGGGGUAUAACUCGCCGAAAGGCGGCUAAUCCCGCAUACGUCCCGCAGACAUAUGUCUGUUGGAGAAAGAUGGCCUCUGCUUGCAAGCUAUCGCUCUUGGACGGGCCCGCGUUAGAUUAGCUAGUUGGUGAGGUAACUGCUCACCAAGGCUACGAUCUAUAGCUGGUUUGAGAGGACGACCAGCCACACUGGAACUGAGACACGGUCCAGACACCUACGGGUGGCUG